GGAAGCGUAUCGAAGAGGCCAUAACGAGAACGACUCGAAAUCGUUUGGUCGGCUAGAAACCGGCCCGUGGGUUCGAAUCCCACCGCUUCCGCCA
Molecule: transfer RNA, 94 nt
Filed under: Clostridia bacterium
Lineage: Bacteria; Bacillati; Bacillota; Clostridia
Description: tRNA-Ser
Rfam family: tRNA
About the family: Transfer RNA (tRNA) molecules are approximately 80 nucleotides in length. Their secondary structure includes four short double-helical elements and three loops (D, anti-codon, and T loops).
Source: RNAcentral